GGUAAAGCGGUGGCGGGGUACGUGGUACGAAGAAGGGUGCGACCGUGCAUCGGAGGAAAUGCGCGGAAAGCGGACGGAGGGGGUAGGAUAAGGUAGUAUAGAAAGCGCCGGGCAAAGCCGAUGAAUUGCAUAUGAUACUGUCGAGAUAGAGACUUGGAGAGGGGGGUAGAAUCCCAGGGGUGGCGGUGAAAUGCGUAGAGAGCUGGAGAAAUACAGGUGACGGAAGCGGCUCCCUGAACAAAAACUGACGCUCAGAUGCGAAAGCGUGGGGAGCAAACAGGAUUAGAUACCCUUGGAGUC
RNAcentral lists this ribosomal RNA (300 nucleotides) under uncultured archaeon. RNAcentral describes it as "partial 16S ribosomal RNA". The stretch from base 58 to 300 matches the Rfam family "Bacterial small subunit ribosomal RNA", at positions 553 to 795 of the family's 1533-position model. The record is from RNAcentral.